AUUGAACGCUGGCGGCAGGCCUAACACAUGCAAGUCGAGCGGCAGCGGAAGGAAGCUUGCUUCCUUGCCGGCGAGCGGCGGACGGGUGAGUAAGGUAUGGGGAUCUGGCCGAAGGCGGGGGAUAACCACUGGAAACGGUGGCUAAUACCGCAUAAUCUCUAAGGAGCAAAGUGGGGGACCGUUCAGGACUCACACCGUCGGAUGAACCCAGAUGAUAUUAGCUCGUAGGUGGGGUAAUGGCUCACCUAGGCGACGAUCUCUAGCUGGUCUGGGAGGAUGAGCAGCCACACUGGGACUGAGACACGGCCCAGACUCCUACGGGAGGCAGCAGUGGGGAAUAUUGCACAAUGGGCGCAGGCCUGAUGCAGCCAUGCCGCGUGUAUGAAGAAGGCCUUCGGGUUGUAAAGUACUUUCAGUCGUGAGGAAGGUGUUAAGGUUAAUAACCUUAGCAAUUGACGUUAGCGACAGAAGAAGCACCGGCUAACUCCGUGCCAGCCGCCGCAGUAA
This 507-nucleotide ribosomal RNA is filed under the name uncultured bacterium. RNAcentral's name for it is "partial 16S ribosomal RNA". It matches the Rfam family "Bacterial small subunit ribosomal RNA", at positions 30 to 523 of the family's 1533-position model. The record is from RNAcentral.